Molecule: ribosomal RNA, 690 nt
Filed under: Triticum aestivum (bread wheat)
Lineage: Eukaryota; Viridiplantae; Streptophyta; Magnoliopsida; Poales; Poaceae
Description: partial small subunit ribosomal RNA
Source: RNAcentral
AUGAGUAAUGCCAAACUAUCUAUCUGCUCGUGGAAUGUCAGAGGGUUGGGUGAUGACACCAAGUGUAGUGAUGUACUGUCUGAACUAAUUGCUAUAAACCCGCAAUGAGCCCUUCUGCAAGAAUCAAAACUUAACCAGAUAAAUGAACGAAAAUUUACCUCCUUCCUGCCAUGCUCUCUGGACAAGAAAAUGUUCCUCCCCGCGAAUGGUUCUGCGGGGGCAAUUGUCUCUGCUGUCAACUCCAAUCAACUUAAUGUAAUUGCCUUCGUACACCACAAUUUCGCCACUUCACUCAAGCUCUCCUCCCUCGCUCACCCAACUCACUUUGUUAUCACCAACGUCUACGCUCCCUCCAACCGCUCCCUUAAGCAGGCCUUCCUCGACGAGCUCAAGCAAAUCAAGGAAGACGAUCACACGCCGUGGCUAAUCGUCGGUCACUUCAACCUCAUUCGUUUCUCCCACGAAAACAAUAACCCAAAUUUUCACCAAUGAGACGUCGAUGCUUUCAAUGCGCUAAUUAACAACCUAGCCCUCAUGGAGCUACCCUUAUUAGACCGUAGAUUCACGUGGACAAACAAUAGGCCCUCCCCUACACUUGAAUGACUCGACCGCACUUUCUUUAACCUAGCUUGGAACUCACACUUCCCAAACACCACACUCUCCUCUCUCACGCGGAUUACUUCCGACCAU